RNAcentral lists this ribosomal RNA (870 nucleotides) under Enterobacter sp. P2 TK-2016. RNAcentral describes it as "bacterial SSU rRNA". It matches the Rfam family "Bacterial small subunit ribosomal RNA", at positions 37 to 912 of the family's 1533-position model. Lineage: Bacteria; Pseudomonadati; Pseudomonadota; Gammaproteobacteria; Enterobacterales; Enterobacteriaceae. The record is from RNAcentral.
UGGCUCUUCGCCAGCCCUCGCAUGGGCGUCGGUGGUGGCCGGCAGCUUGCUGCUUCGCUACGAGUGGCGGACGGGUGAGUAAUGUCUGGGAAACUGCCUGAUGGAGGGGGAUAACUACUGGGAAACGGUAGCUAAUACCGCAUAACGUCGCAAGACCAAAGAGGGGGACCUUCGGGCCUCUUGCCAUCGGAUGUGCCCAGAUGGGAUUAGCUAGUAGGUGGGGUAACGGCUCACCUAGGCGACGAUCCCUAGCUGGUCUGAGAGGAUGACCAGCCACACUGGAACUGAGACACGGUCCAGACUCCUACGGGAGGCAGCAGUGGGGAAUAUUGCACAAUGGGCGCAAGCCUGAUGCAGCCAUGCCGCGUGUAUGAAGAAGGCCUUCGGGUUGUAAAGUACUUUCAGCGGGGAGGAAGGCGAUAAGGUUAAUAACCUUGUCGAUUGACGUUACCCGCAGAAGAAGCACCGGCUAACUCCGUGCCAGCAGCCGCGGUAAUACGGAGGGUGCAAGCGUUAAUCGGAAUUACUGGGCGUAAAGCGCACGCAGGCGGUCUGUCAAGUCGGAUGUGAAAUCCCCGGGCUCAACCUGGGAACUGCAUUCGAAACUGGCAGCUAGAGGUCUUUGUAAAGGGGGGUAGAAUUCAAGGUGUAGCGGUGAAAUGCGUAAAGAUCUGGAGGAAUACCGGUGGCGAAGGCGCCCCUGGACAAGGACUGACGCUCAGGUGCGAAGGCGUGGGGGAGCAAACAGGAUAAAAUACCUGGUAGUCCACGCCGUAACGAUGCCCACUGGAGGUUGUGCCAUGAGGCGUGCUCGGACUAACGCGUUAGUCCACGGCUUGGGAGUACGGCCCAGUUAAACUCAAUGAAUUG